Molecule: transfer RNA, 85 nt
Filed under: Felis catus (domestic cat)
Lineage: Eukaryota; Metazoa; Chordata; Mammalia; Carnivora; Felidae
Rfam family: tRNA
About the family: Transfer RNA (tRNA) molecules are approximately 80 nucleotides in length. Their secondary structure includes four short double-helical elements and three loops (D, anti-codon, and T loops).
Source: Rfam by way of RNAcentral
GCCUGGGUGGCUCAGUCGGUUGAGCGUCUGACUUCGGCUCAGGUCAUGAUCUCACAGCUCGUGAGUUCAAGCCCCACGUCGGGCU